This 74-nucleotide transfer RNA is filed under the name Pterocladiophila hemisphaerica. RNAcentral's name for it is "tRNA-Phe". It matches the Rfam family "tRNA". From Rfam's summary of the family: Transfer RNA (tRNA) molecules are approximately 80 nucleotides in length. Their secondary structure includes four short double-helical elements and three loops (D, anti-codon, and T loops). Further hydrogen bonds mediate the characteristic L-shaped molecular structure. tRNAs have two regions of fundamental functional importance: the anti-codon, which is responsible for specific mRNA codon recognition, and the 3' end, to which the tRNAs corresponding amino acid is attached (by aminoacyl-tRNA synthetases). tRNAs cope with the degeneracy of the genetic code in two manners: having more than one tRNA (with a specific anti-codon) for a particular amino acid; and 'wobble' base-pairing, i.e. permitting non-standard base-pairing at the 3rd anti-codon position. Lineage: Eukaryota; Rhodophyta; Florideophyceae; Gracilariales; Pterocladiophilaceae. The record is from RNAcentral.
GUUUAGAUAGCUCAAAAAGGUAGAGCAUAAGAUUGAAAAUCUUUGUGUUAAAGGUUCAAGUCCUUUUCUAAACA